AAAUCAGGUAGGAUUACCCGCUGAA
This 25-nucleotide ribosomal RNA is filed under the name Neohypochnicium cremicolor. Its description in RNAcentral is "Hypochnicium cremicolor partial large subunit ribosomal RNA". Lineage: Eukaryota; Fungi; Basidiomycota; Agaricomycetes; Polyporales. The record is from RNAcentral.